CACCCCUCAGGGUAGCAACUGGAGAGUUUCUAGUACUCUACCAGUCUCGGCUAAGGGAGGGAGAGUCAAGCAGAGGCCUAUCCAUUCCAUUCCUAACUUGGGCAGUGGCUAGCAAGUGGAAGGCAACCUGCUACAAGU
Molecule: small nucleolar RNA, 138 nt
Organism: Tachyglossus aculeatus (Australian echidna)
Lineage: Eukaryota; Metazoa; Chordata; Mammalia; Monotremata; Tachyglossidae
Source: RefSeq, a predicted model, not a curated record